This 522-nucleotide ribosomal RNA is filed under the name uncultured bacterium. RNAcentral's name for it is "bacterial SSU rRNA". It matches the Rfam family "Bacterial small subunit ribosomal RNA", at positions 7 to 518 of the family's 1533-position model. The record is from RNAcentral.
GAGAGUUUGAUUAUGGCUCAGGAUGAACGCUAGCGACAGGCUUAACACAUGCAAGUCGAGGGGCAUCACGGGAGUAGCAAUACAACUGGUGGCGACCGGCGCACGGGUGAGUAACGCGUAUGCAACCUACCUAUCAGAGGGGAAUAACCCGGCGAAAGUCGGACUAAUACCGCAUAAAACAGGGGGCACCGCAUGGUGAUAUUUGUUAAAGAAAUUCGCUGAUAGAUGGGCAUGCGUUCCAUUAGGUAGUUGGUGAGGUAACGGCUCACCAAGCCGACGAUGGAUAGGGGAACUGAGAGGUUGGUCCCCCACACUGGUACUGAGACACGGACCAGACUCCUACGGGAGGCAGCAGUGAGGAAUAUUGGUCAAUGGGCGGGAGCCUGAACCAGCCAAGUCGCGUGAAGGAAAGAAGGAUCUAUGGUUCGUAAACUUCUUUUGCAGGGGAAUAAAGUGCAGGACGUGUCCUGUUUUGUAUGUACCCUGAGAAUAAGGAUCGGCUAACUCCGUGCCAGCAGCUGC